Non-coding RNA from Procambarus clarkii (red swamp crayfish), 314 nucleotides. The record is from RefSeq and is a predicted model, not a curated record. NCBI's taxonomy places the organism in Eukaryota, Metazoa, Arthropoda, Malacostraca, Decapoda, Cambaridae.
UUUGCCUGUGACUGAAUACCAUUGGUUGGUUUGUGGAGACGUGUGGUCGAGGUUUCGACCCUCAUAAACGAGACGGCUGGAGCCAACAUUAGCCUGGCUUGUUCGGGGUCCCGCUUGUGUUGGCGGAGCAUAUAUAACCGGGUCACUUGGCUGUGGAGCGUCAGUACAGCUUGGGAGACUCUCAGUGUUGUCUGUGUAUCCAUAAUGUUUACUAUGCGUUGUGUUAGCCUGGUUCUCCUGCUGGUGCUCAUGGCUCUACUACACUUCUCGACGGCUCAAUAUUUUCACGAUCGUCGGUACCAACCAGUGUAUGG